GACGAACGCUGGCGGCGUGCUUAACACAUGCAAGUCGAACGCUGAAGCUCAGCUUUUGUUGGGUGGAUGAGUGGCGAACGGGUGAGUAACACGUGAGUAACCUGCCCCCUUCUUUGGGAUAACGCCCGGAAACGGGUGCUAAUACUGGAUAUUCACUGGUCUUCGCAUGGGGGUUGGUGGAAAGGGUUUUUCUGGUGGGGGAUGGGCUCGCGGCCUAUCAGCUUGUUGGUGGGGUGAUGGCCUACCAAGGCUUUGACGGGUAGCCGGCCUGAGAGGGUGACCGGUCACAUUGGGACUGAGAUACGGACCAGACUCCUACGGGAGGCAGCAGUGGGGAAUAUUGCACAAUGGGCGCAAGCCUGAUGCAGCGACGCCGCGUGAGGGAUGGAGGCCUUCGGGUUGUGAACCUCUUUCGCUCAUGGUCAAGCCGCAACAAUGGUUGUGGUGAGGGUAGUGGGUAAAGAAGCGCCGGCUAACUACGUG
RNAcentral lists this ribosomal RNA (483 nucleotides) under uncultured bacterium. RNAcentral describes it as "partial 16S ribosomal RNA". It matches the Rfam family "Bacterial small subunit ribosomal RNA", at positions 28 to 507 of the family's 1533-position model. The record is from RNAcentral.